ACGGCUCAGUAACACGUGGACAAUCUGCCCUUGGGUCUGGGAUAACUCCGGGAAACUGGAGAUAAUACCAGAUAGGUCAUAGAUGCUGGAAUGCUCUAUGGCCCAAAGCUCCGGCGCCCAAGGAUGAGUCUGCGGCCUAUCAGGUUGUAGUGGGCGUAAUGGACCCACUAGCCUACGACGGGUACGGGUUGUGAGAGCAAGAGCCCGGAGAUGGAUUCUGAGACAUGAAUCCAGGCCCUACGGGGCGCAGCAGGCGCGAAACCUUUACAAUGCGCGCAAGCGCGAUAAGGGGACCUCGAGUGUUCCUACCUAGUAGGAACUGUCCAGUUGUCUAAAAAACAACUGUUAGCAAGAGCCGGGCAAGACCGGUGCCAGCCGCCGCGGUAACACCGGCGGCUCGAGUGGUGACCGCUUUUAUUGGGUCUAAAGGGUCUGUAGCCGGUCUAACAAGUUCUUUGGAAAAUCUGGUCGCUUAACGAUCAGGCUGCUAGGGGAUACUGUUAGACUUGGGACCGGGAGAGGCUAGAGGUACUUUAGGGGUAGGGGUGAAAUCCUGUGAUCCUUAAAGGACCACCAGUGGCGAAGGCGUCUAGCUAGAACGGAUCCGACGGUGAGGGACGAAAGCUGGGGGCACGAACCGGAUUAGAUACCCGGGUAGUCCCAGCCGUAAACGAUGCGAGCUAGGUGUCAGUUUUACUGCGAGUAAAAUUGGUGCCGUAGGGAAGCCGUGAAGCUCGCCACCUGGGAAGUACGGCCGCAAGGCUGAAACUUAAAGGAAUUGGCGGGGGAGCACUACAACGGGUGGAGCCUGCGGUUUAAUUGG
This 823-nucleotide ribosomal RNA is filed under the name uncultured archaeon. RNAcentral's name for it is "bacterial SSU rRNA". It matches the Rfam family "Archaeal small subunit ribosomal RNA", at positions 85 to 909 of the family's 1478-position model. The record is from RNAcentral.